This 1069-nucleotide long non-coding RNA is filed under the name Elaeis guineensis (African oil palm). RNAcentral describes it as "long non-coding RNA (EGUI_LNC064930)". Lineage: Eukaryota; Viridiplantae; Streptophyta; Magnoliopsida; Arecales; Arecaceae. The record is from RNAcentral.
UCUAAUCUAAUAAUGCCGACAACCAUAAAAAGCUUAUAUUUUUGUGUGCCAAAAAGUCUCUGAUUUUUACCAUGAGAUACCAUAGGAAAAGAGGUGUCGAACAUCCUUCUUGGGGCAUGAGUUUUGGGGUGGGUUCAUACCAUCUUGGCAUGUGCAAAGGAGGAUAUCGAUCUCCUUUCAGGUGAGAGAUCUAGAAUCAUUCUAGGAUUUCUGGAUGAGAGAAAACUAAAGAGAAGAGAUUCUUUAUCUAAUUUUUCUUCACCAUCUAGUAUCCUUCUCUAUUUUAUCUUCGACAUCAAAAAGAUUCAAAGUGAUCGAAGAAGGAGAUCAAAUCAGAUCUACCAUCAGAAGCCGACUAUAUGAACUAGUACUCCUACAGAGGGCUGAUCAGUCUGAGGACUUCAUGUGGACCAUCCAUAGAGGUCGGAUGCUUAUGUGCCUAUGAGCAACCAGAGAACACUUUCAGAUCCACAUUUUCGAUCAUGGAGUUCGAUUAUCCACGCUCAGAUAUUAGGUUCAAAAUCUUCACUGUGGUAGAUUAGAUCUAUCACAAUGUAUUGAUUUUUGUUCACAUACUUGUUAUUUUAAAUUUAAAUUUUUAUACAUAUAAAUUUAUGUCAAAGAUCUAUUUGUAGAAGUUUUAAGAUCAGAUCUUAUACAUGCAUUUAUAGAUUAAAUAGUUUAAUUUAAUAUUUUUUCACUGUAAAAAUUUAGAAAUGCAUGUAUAAAAUCUCUGCGCAUCCUAACAUUUAGAUCUAAAACUAAUUUCAGAUUUGAAUAACUCAUGAUUUAUUUUAGAUUUAAAAUAAUUUUAGAUCUGAAACAAUUCUAUAAUCAUAUUACAAUAUAUAAAAAAUUUAGAUCUAAUAUUAAUUAAUAUUUUACAUCGUUCUAAGACAACCAUUCAGCAUAAUAGGGUUAUACUAGGACAACCUUAUUUAAGAAUAAUAUUGAUCAUCUAACCAACCUUCAGAUCUGAUUUCUGCAAAUCAAAUUUUAGAUCCAAGGGAUUACGUGUUCAUAUCAAAACCUAGCUCUGAUACCACUGAUAGAAAGCAUUUUGAUUUCG